This 2903-nucleotide ribosomal RNA is filed under the name Salmonella enterica subsp. enterica. RNAcentral describes it as "bacterial LSU rRNA". It matches the Rfam family "Bacterial large subunit ribosomal RNA". The record is from RNAcentral. Lineage: Bacteria; Pseudomonadati; Pseudomonadota; Gammaproteobacteria; Enterobacterales; Enterobacteriaceae. RNAcentral also lists the same sequence under 1 other name.
UUAAGCGACUAAGCGUACACGGUGGAUGCCCUGGCAGUCAGAGGCGAUGAAGGACGUGCUAAUCUGCGAUAAGCGCCGGUAAGGUGAUAUGAACCGUUAUAACCGGCGAUUUCCGAAUGGGGAAACCCAGUGUGAUUCGUCACACUAUCAUUAACUGAAUCCAUAGGUUAAUGAGGCGAACCGGGGGAACUGAAACAUCUAAGUACCCCGAGGAAAAGAAAUCAACCGAGAUUCCCCCAGUAGCGGCGAGCGAACGGGGAGGAGCCCAGAGCCUGAAUCAGCAUGUGUGUUAGUGGAAGCGUCUGGAAAGGCGCGCGAUACAGGGUGACAGCCCCGUACACAAAAGCGCAUGUGCUGUGAGCUCGAUGAGUAGGGCGGGACACGUGGUAUCCUGUCUGAAUAUGGGGGGACCAUCCUCCAAGGCUAAAUACUCCUGACUGACCGAUAGUGAACCAGUACCGUGAGGGAAAGGCGAAAAGAACCCCGGCGAGGGGAGUGAAAAAGAACCUGAAACCGUGUACGUACAAGCAGUGGGAGCACCCUUCGGGGUGUGACUGCGUACCUUUUGUAUAAUGGGUCAGCGACUUAUAUUCUGUAGCAAGGUUAACCGUAUAGGGGAGCCGGAGGGAAACCGAGUCUUAACCGGGCGUUAAGUUGCAGGGUAUAGACCCGAAACCCGGUGAUCUAGCCAUGGGCAGGUUGAAGGUUGGGUAACACUAACUGGAGGACCGAACCGACUAAUGUUGAAAAAUUAGCGGAUGACCUGUGGCUGGGGGUGAAAGGCCAAUCAAACCGGGAGAUAGCUGGUUCUCCCCGAAAGCUAUUUAGGUAGCGCCUCGUGAAUUCAUCUCCGGGGGUAGAGCACUGUUUCGGCUAGGGGGCCAUCCCGGCUUACCAACCCGAUGCAAACUGCGAAUACCGGAGAAUGUUAUCACGGGAGACACACGGCGGGUGCUAACGUCCGUCGUGAAGAGGGAAACAACCCAGACCGCCAGCUAAGGUCCCAAAGUCAUGGUUAAGUGGGAAACGAUGUGGGAAGGCCCAGACAGCCAGGAUGUUGGCUUAGAAGCAGCCAUCAUUUAAAGAAAGCGUAAUAGCUCACUGGUCGAGUCGGCCUGCGCGGAAGAUGUAACGGGGCUAAACCAUGCACCGAAGCUGCGGCAGCGACGCUGAUGCGUUGUUGGGUAGGGGAGCGUUCUGUAAGCCUGCGAAGGUGACCUGUGAGGGUUGCUGGAGGUAUCAGAAGUGCGAAUGCUGACAUAAGUAACGAUAAAGCGGGUGAAAAGCCCGCUCGCCGGAAGACCAAGGGUUCCUGUCCAACGUUAAUCGGGGCAGGGUGAGUCGACCCCUAAGGCGAGGCCGAAAGGCGUAGUCGAUGGGAAACGGGUUAAUAUUCCCGUACUUGGUGUUACUGCGAAGGGGGGACGGAGAAGGCUAUGUUGGCCGGGCGACGGUUGUCCCGGUUUAAGCGUGUAGGUGUGUGUUCCAGGUAAAUCCGGUUCACUUUAACACUGAGGCGUGAUGACGAGGCACUACGGUGCUGAAGCAACAAAUGCCCUGCUUCCAGGAAAAGCCUCUAAGCAUCAGGUAACAUCAAAUCGUACCCCAAACCGACACAGGUGGUCAGGUAGAGAAUACCAAGGCGCUUGAGAGAACUCGGGUGAAGGAACUAGGCAAAAUGGUGCCGUAACUUCGGGAGAAGGCACGCUGACACGUAGGUGAAGUGAUUUACUCACGGAGCUGAAGUCAGUCGAAGAUACCAGCUGGCUGCAACUGUUUAUUAAAAACACAGCACUGUGCAAACACGAAAGUGGACGUAUACGGUGUGACGCCUGCCCGGUGCCGGAAGGUUAAUUGAUGGGGUCAGCGCAAGCGAAGCUCCUGAUCGAAGCCCCGGUAAACGGCGGCCGUAACUAUAACGGUCCUAAGGUAGCGAAAUUCCUUGUCGGGUAAGUUCCGACCUGCACGAAUGGCGUAAUGAUGGCCAGGCUGUCUCCACCCGAGACUCAGUGAAAUUGAACUCGCUGUGAAGAUGCAGUGUACCCGCGGCAAGACGGAAAGACCCCGUGAACCUUUACUAUAGCUUGACACUGAACAUUGAGCCUUGAUGUGUAGGAUAGGUGGGAGGCUUUGAAGUGUGGACGCCAGUCUGCAUGGAGCCGACCUUGAAAUACCACCCUUUAAUGUUUGAUGUUCUAACGUGGACCCGUAAUCCGGGUUGCGGACAGUGUCUGGUGGGUAGUUUGACUGGGGCGGUCUCCUCCUAAAGAGUAACGGAGGAGCACGAAGGUUGGCUAAUCCUGGUCGGACAUCAGGAGGUUAGUGCAAUGGCAUAAGCCAGCUUGACUGCGAGCGUGACGGCGCGAGCAGGUGCGAAAGCAGGUCAUAGUGAUCCGGUGGUUCUGAAUGGAAGGGCCAUCGCUCAACGGAUAAAAGGUACUCCGGGGAUAACAGGCUGAUACCGCCCAAGAGUUCAUAUCGACGGCGGUGUUUGGCACCUCGAUGUCGGCUCAUCACAUCCUGGGGCUGAAGUAGGUCCCAAGGGUAUGGCUGUUCGCCAUUUAAAGUGGUACGCGAGCUGGGUUUAGAACGUCGUGAGACAGUUCGGUCCCUAUCUGCCGUGGGCGCUGGAGAACUGAGGGGGGCUGCUCCUAGUACGAGAGGACCGGAGUGGACGCAUCACUGGUGUUCGGGUUGUCAUGCCAAUGGCACUGCCCGGUAGCUAAAUGCGGAAGAGAUAAGUGCUGAAAGCAUCUAAGCACGAAACUUGCCCCGAGAUGAGUUCUCCCUGAGACUUAGAGUCUCCUGAAGGAACGUUGAAGACGACGACGUUGAUAGGCCGGGUGUGUAAGCGCAGCGAUGCGUUGAGCUAACCGGUACUAAUGAACCGUGAGGCUUAACCU